UACGGGGGGGGCAAGCGUUGUUCGGAAUUACUGGGCGUAAAGGGCUCGUAGGUGGCCCGCUACGUUGGACGUGAAAUCCCUCGGCUCAACCGGGGAACUGCGUCCAAGACUGGCGGGCUUGAAUCCGGGAGAGGGACGUGGAAUUCCAGGUGUAGCGGUGAAAUGCGUAGGUAUCUGGAGGAACACCGGUGGCGAAGGCGGCGUCCUGGACCGGUAUUGACACUGAGGAGCGAAAGCCAGGGGAGCAAACGGG
This 253-nucleotide ribosomal RNA is filed under the name uncultured bacterium. RNAcentral's name for it is "partial 16S ribosomal RNA". It matches the Rfam family "Bacterial small subunit ribosomal RNA", at positions 524 to 776 of the family's 1533-position model. The record is from RNAcentral.